AAUCAAACAUAAACGGGUCCCUCAGUCCAUCAUGAAGAUCUCUUAUCUACUGGUGAUGCUUUUGUUGGGAUCUUUGCUUGCAUUUGACAUGACUGGAGCUUAUCGACAUCGCCGAUGUCGUCGCCAUCGUCACAGACGUCACCGUCGCCAUCGACAUCACGGUUGACAUAUAUAUGCAUACUCUAUAUGUAUAUGUAUAUGUAACAAGCCAAGGCCUUCGGAAGAAAACAAUUCUCCAUAUACUUCGGAUUCAUGUGCAUGUACAUAUUAUUCAAUAAAGAGACUGAACUAUCU
Haliotis rufescens (red abalone) is the source of this 294-nucleotide long non-coding RNA. RefSeq lists it as uncharacterized. The record is from RefSeq and is a predicted model, not a curated record. Lineage: Eukaryota; Metazoa; Mollusca; Gastropoda; Lepetellida; Haliotidae. The transcript has 3 exons.